This 189-nucleotide unclassified non-coding RNA is filed under the name Glomeraceae sp. RNAcentral's name for it is "partial contains 5.8S ribosomal RNA and internal transcribed spacer 2". The stretch from base 1 to 65 matches the Rfam family "5.8S ribosomal RNA", at positions 84 to 154 of the family's 154-position model. The record is from RNAcentral. Lineage: Eukaryota; Fungi; Glomeromycota; Glomeromycetes; Glomerales; Glomeraceae.
GUGAAUCAUCGAAUUUUUGAACGCAAAUUGCACUCUCCUCGGAGAGUAUGCCUGUUUGAGGGUCAGCCUAUAAAAAUUGACAUCGUUGCUGUUUCGCGGUGGCGUUCGGCGGGAAUUGGGUCAUUUUUAAACCUUUUGAUUUAAGCGCCUUAUAAUUUUCUUUUGGUUCCUUGAUCGUUUCUAAGAUCU